GGGGUAAGCAUUUAGAAUUUGCUGUAAAACAUCUUUUUGAAGCUGAAUAUAAACUUUGUAAUGAUGUGUUUGAGAGAAUCGGGUUGGAUGUGUGGAUGAGCUGUUUCGCUAAGAUAGCUGCCCAAGCAGGCAUUCUUGCAUUCCUUCAAUUUGGAAAAACAGUGACAGAGAGUAAGAAGGAUCCUAUCAAGCUGUUGAAGCUGUUGGACAUAUUUGCAUCUUUAAACAAGU
Molecule: unclassified non-coding RNA, 231 nt
Filed under: Hevea brasiliensis (rubber tree)
Lineage: Eukaryota; Viridiplantae; Streptophyta; Magnoliopsida; Malpighiales; Euphorbiaceae
Source: RNAcentral